GAACUGCGAUAAGCAAUGCGAAUUGCAGAAUCCGCGAGUCAUUAGAUUUUCGAACGCAGCUGGCGCGGCAGGGGAAACCCCGGCCGCAGGUUUGCUUCAGUGUCUUUGAUUAUCAUAAAUCUAAAUGUGAUUGAACUUCGGUUCUCUCAUUAAACUUGAGCGUGUUGCUCUUUCAACCUAAUGAAGUAGUCACUGUCCGAAAGGAACUGGUGAUUUCGUUAGCUCUUGGAGAGUUAGGGCGCAGAGUGAAUAGUCUUUCAUCAUACAUUUUGACCUGAAGUCAAGCCAGAGCACCCGCUGAACUUAA
RNAcentral lists this unclassified non-coding RNA (307 nucleotides) under uncultured fungus. RNAcentral's name for it is "sequence contains ITS1". The stretch from base 1 to 105 matches the Rfam family "5.8S ribosomal RNA", at positions 50 to 154 of the family's 154-position model. The record is from RNAcentral. Lineage: Eukaryota; Fungi.